UGCGUAAUAGCUCACUAGUCGAGUGAUUGUGCGCCGAAAAUGUAACGGGGCUAAACUUGACACCGAAGUCUGGGCAGAAGGAAACUUCUGGGUAGGGGAGCAACGUGUACGGGCAGAAGCAGAAGCGGAAGCGACUGUGGACUGUACAGGAGAGAGAAUGCCGGCAUGAGUAGCGAGAGCAAAGUGAGAAUCUUUGCCGUCGAAAGCCUAAGGUUUCCUGAGGAAGGCUCGUCCUCUCAGGGUAAGUCGGGACCUAAGCCGAGGACAAUAGUCGUAGGCGAUGGACAAUCGGUUAAUAUUCCGAUACCGCCGAGCAACCGGAUGCAGUGACACAGAAGGAUAGGCAGAGCGUGGCGAUGGUAGACCACGUCCAAGCAGUGAGGCUGUUGUGUAGUGAAGUACGCACAACGUAAGGCUGGGCUGUGAUGGGGAACGAUUACGAUCGGUAAGCUGCUGAAUUCACGCUGGCGAGAAAAGCUGCUACGAAGCGAAGGCGCCCGUACCGCAAACCGACACAGGUAGGCGAGGAGAGAAUCCUAAGACGAGCGGGAGAACCCUUGUUAAGGAACUCGGCAAAAUGACUCCGUAACUUAGGGAGAAGGAGUGCCCAGGAAUGGGCCGCAGAGAAUAGACCCAAGCGACUGUUUACCAAAAACACAGGUCUGUGCGAAGUAGAGAUACGACGUAUACGGGCUGACACCUGCCCAGUGCCGGAAGGUUAAGGGGAAAUGUUAGGGCAACCGAAGCAUGGAACUUAAGCCCCGGUGAACGGCGGCCGUAACUAUAACGGUCCUAAGGUAGCGAAAUUCCUUGUCGGGUAAGUUCCGACCCGCACGAAUGGUGUAACGAUUUGGGCACUGUCUCAACAAGGGACCCGGCGAAAUUGUAGUAUGUGUGAAGAUGCACAUUACCCGCGAUAGGACGGAAAGACCCCGUAGAGCUUUACUGUAGUUUAACAUUGGAUUCCGGUAACAUAUGCACAGGAUAGGUGGGAGGCGGAGAAGCAGUGAUUUCGGUUGCUGCAGAGCCGACGUUGGGAUACCACUCUUGUGUUACUGGGGUUCUAACCUGUGGCCGUGAUCCGGCACAGGAACAGUGUUAGAUGGGCAGUUUGACUGGGGCGGUCGCCUCCAAAAGAGUAACGGAGGCGUCCAAAGGUUCCCUCAGAAUGGUUGGAAACCAUUCGAAGAGUACAAAGGCAGAAGGGAGCCUGACUGCGAGACCGACAGGUCGAGCAGGGACGAAAGUCGGGCUUAGUGAUCCGGCGGUAUAGAGUGGAAUUGCCGUCGCUCAACGGAUAAAAGCUACCUCGGGGAUAACAGGCUUAUCUCCCCCAAGAGUCCACAUCGACGGGGAGGUUUGGCACCUCGAUGUCGGCUCGUCGCAUCCUGGGGCUGAAGCAGGUCCCAAGGGUUUGGCUGUUCGCCAAUUAAAGCGGCACGCGAGCUGGGUUCAGAACGUCGUGAGACAGUUCGGUCCCUAUCCAUCGUGGGCGCAGGAGAUUUGAGAAGAGCUGUCCUCAGUACGAGAGGACCGGGAUGGACGCACCAAGGGUGUAUCAGUUGUCACGCCAGUGGCACAGCUGGGUAGCCAAGUGCGGAUCGGAUAAACGCUGAAGGCAUCUAAGCGUGAAGCCGACUUCAAGAUAAGAUCUCCCAUCCGCAAGGAGUAAGGCCCCAUGUAGACCACAUGGUUGAUAGGUCGCAGGUGGAAGUGCAGUAAUGUACGCAGCUGAGCGAUACUAAUAGGCCGAGGGCUUGAUCAA
Molecule: ribosomal RNA, 1765 nt
Filed under: human gut metagenome
Description: bacterial LSU rRNA
Rfam family: Bacterial large subunit ribosomal RNA
Source: RNAcentral